Long non-coding RNA from Oncorhynchus keta (chum salmon), 1012 nucleotides. RefSeq lists it as uncharacterized. Lineage: Eukaryota; Metazoa; Chordata; Actinopteri; Salmoniformes; Salmonidae. The transcript has 3 exons. The record is from RefSeq and is a predicted model, not a curated record.
AGGCGGCAGGGUAGCCUAGUGGUUAGAGUGUAGAGGCGGCAGGGUAGCCUAGUGGUUAGAGUGUAGAGGAGGCAGGUAGCCUAGUGGUUAGAGUGUAGAGGCGGCAGGGUAGCCUAGUGGUUAGAGUGUAGAGGCGGCAGGGUAGCCUAGUGGUUAGAGUGUAGAGGCGGCAGGGUAGCCUAGUGGUUAGAGUGUAGAGGCGGCAGGGUAGCCUAGUGGUUAGAGUGUAGAGGAGGCAGGUAGCCUAGUGGUUAGAGUGUAGAGGCGGCAGGGUAGCCUAGUGGUUAGAGUGUAGAGGCGGCAGGGUAGCCUAGUGGUUAGAGUGUAGAGGCGGCAGGGUAGCCUAGUGGUUAGAGUGUAGAGGCGGCAGGGUAGCCUAGUGGUUAGAGUGUAGAGGCGGCAGGGUAGCCUAGUGGUUAGAUUGUAGAGGCGGCAGGGUAGCCUAGUGGUUAGAGUGUAGAGGAGGUAGGUAGCCUAGUGGUUAGAGUGUAGAGGCGGCAGGUAGCCUAGUGGUUAGAGUGUAGAGGAGGUAGGUAGCCUAGUGGUUAGAGUGUAGAGGAGGUAGGUAGCCUAGUGGUUAGAGUGUAGAGGCGGCAGGUAGCCUAGUGGUUAGAGUGUAGAGGCGGCAGGUAGCCUAGUGGUUAGAGUGUAGAGGCGGCAGGGUAGCCUAGUGGUUAGAGUGUAGAGGCGGCAGGGUAGCCUAGUGGUUAGAGUGUAGAGGCGGCAGGGUAGCCUAGUGGUUAGUGUGUAGAGGCGGCAGGGUAUUCUAGUGGUUAGAGUGUAGAGGUGGCAGGGUAGCCUAGUGGUUAGAGUGUAGAGGUGGCAGGUAGCCUAGUGGUUAGAGUGUAGAGGCGGCAGGGUAGCCUAGUGGUUAGAGUGUAGAGGCGGCAGGGUAGCCUAGUGGUUAGAGUGUAGAGGAGGUAGGUAGCCUAGUGGUUAGAGUGUAGAGGCGGCAGGUAGCCUAGUGGUUAGAGUGUAGAGGCGGCAGGGUAGCCUAGUAGUUAGAGUGUAG